Small nucleolar RNA from Camelus dromedarius (Arabian camel), 130 nucleotides. Its record names the gene SNORD22. It matches the Rfam family "Small nucleolar RNA SNORD22". From Rfam's summary of the family: U22 is a member of the C/D class of snoRNA which contain the C (UGAUGA) and D (CUGA) box motifs. NCBI's taxonomy places the organism in Eukaryota, Metazoa, Chordata, Mammalia, Artiodactyla, Camelidae. The record is from Ensembl.
UCCCAGUGAAGAGACAGUCACACACCUUACCUCCUAUCCUGGUCCCAGGGCCUAUAAAGGGAAACACACUGGGGAUGACUGGGGAAGGGAGGGGAGGAAAGCAUUUUUGAGAAGGAACCAUCUGAGAGAU